UACGUAGGUGGUAAGCGUUGUCCGGAAUUAUUGGGCGUAAAGCGCGCGCAGGCGGCCUCUUAAGUCUGAUGUGAAAGCCCCCGGCUCAACCGGGGAGGGCCAUUGGAAACUGGGAGGCUUGAGUAUAGGAGAGAAGAGUGGAAUUCCACGUGUAGCGGUGAAAUGCGUAGAGAUGUGGAGGAACACCAGUGGCGAAGGCGACUCUUUGGCCUAUAACUGACUCUGAGGCGCGAAAGCGUGGGGAGCAAACAGG
This 253-nucleotide ribosomal RNA is filed under the name uncultured bacterium. RNAcentral describes it as "partial 16S ribosomal RNA". It matches the Rfam family "Bacterial small subunit ribosomal RNA", at positions 524 to 776 of the family's 1533-position model. The record is from RNAcentral.